AUUGAACGCUGGCGGCAUGCUUUACACAUGCAAGUCGAACGGCAGCGCGGGCUUCGGCCUGGCGGCGAGUGGCGAACGGGUGAGUAAUACAUCGGAACGUGCCCAGCAGUGGGGGAUAGCUCGGCGAAAGCCGGAUUAAUACCGCAUCCGACCUGAGGGUGAAAGCGGGGGAUCUUCGGACCUCGCGCUAUUGGAGCGGCCGAUGGCAGAUUAGCUAGUUGGUGGGGUAAAGGCCUACCAAGGCGACGAUCUGUAGCUGGUCUGAGAGGACGACCAGCCACACUGGGACUGAGACACGGCCCAGACUCCUACGGGAGGCAGCAGUGGGGAAUUUUGGACAAUGGGCGAAAGCCUGAUCCAGCAAUGCCGCGUGUGUGAUGAAGGCCUUCGGGUUGUAAAGCACUUUUGGCGGGAACGAAAAGGACUGUGCCAAUACCACGGUUCGAUGACGGUACCCGCAGAAUAAGCACCGGCUAACUACGUG
This 484-nucleotide ribosomal RNA is filed under the name uncultured bacterium. RNAcentral's name for it is "partial 16S ribosomal RNA". It matches the Rfam family "Bacterial small subunit ribosomal RNA", at positions 29 to 507 of the family's 1533-position model. The record is from RNAcentral.